UUCCGGUUGAUCCCGCCGGACCUGACUGCUAUCGGAUUGAUACUAAGCCAUGCGAGUCUUUGUAGUAAUACAAGGCAGACGGCUCAGUAACACGUAGUCAACCUACCCUAUGGACGAGAAUAAUCUCGGGAAACUGAGCAUAAUUCUCGAUAGAUCAUAAUGCCUGGAAUGGUUUAUGGUUAAAAUGAUUCGUCGCCAUAGGAUGGGACUGCGGCCUAUCAGCUUGUUGGUGAGGUAAUGGCCCACCAAGGCGAUUACAGGUACGGGCUCUGAGAGGAGAAGCCCGGAGAUGGGUACUGAGACACGGACCCAGGCCCUAUGGGGCGCAGCAGGCGAGAAAACUUUGCAAUGUGCGAAAGCACGACAAGGUUAAUCCGAGUGAUUUCUGCUAAAGAAAUCUUUUGCCAGUCAUAAAACCACUGGUGAAUAAGGGGUGGGCAAGUUCUGGUGUCAGCCGCCGCGGUAAAACCAGCACCUCAAGUGGUCAGGAUGAUUAUUGGGCCUAAAGCAUCCGUAGCCGGCUUUGUUAGUUUUCGGUUAAAUCCAUGUGCUCAACGCAUGGGCUGCCGAAAAUACUGCAUAGCUAGGGAGUGGGAGAGGUAGACGGUACUCAGUAGGAAGGGGUAAAAUCCUUUGAUCUAUUGAUGACCACCUGUGGCGAAGGCGGUCUACCAGAACACGUUCGACGGUGAGGGAUGAAAGCUGGGGGAGCAAACCGGAUUAGAUACCCGGGUAGUCCCAGCUGUAAACGAUGCAGACUCGAUGAUGCAUUGGCAUAAUAGCCAAUGCAGUGUCGCAGGGAAGCCGUUAAGUCUGCCGCCUGGGAAGUACGUACGCAAGUAUGAAACUUAAAGGAAUUGGCGGGGGAGCACCACAAGGGGUGAAGCCUGCGGUUCAAUUGGAUUCAACGCCGGG
This 915-nucleotide ribosomal RNA is filed under the name uncultured marine archaeon. RNAcentral describes it as "bacterial SSU rRNA". It matches the Rfam family "Archaeal small subunit ribosomal RNA", at positions 1 to 922 of the family's 1478-position model. The record is from RNAcentral.